Molecule: ribosomal RNA, 253 nt
Filed under: uncultured bacterium
Lineage: Bacteria
Description: partial 16S ribosomal RNA
Rfam family: Bacterial small subunit ribosomal RNA
Source: RNAcentral
UACGUAGGGCGCAAGCGUUGUCCGGAAUUAUUGGGCGUAAAGAGCUCGUAGGUGGUUUGUUACGUCUGCUGUGAAAACCUAGGGCUUAACCCUGGGCCUGCAGUGGAUACGGGCAGACUAGAGGUAGGUAGGGGAGAAUGGAAUUCCCGGUGUAGCGGUGAAAUGCGCAGAUAUCGGGAGGAACACCGGUGGCGAAGGCGGUUCUCUGGGCCUUACCUGACACUGAAGAGCGAAAGCGUGGGGAGCGAACAGG